AGUGAACGCUGGCGGCGUGCUUAACACAUGCAAGUCGAACGAGAACGGAUUAUAGCUUGCUAUAAUUGUCAGCUAAGUGGCGCACGGGUGAGUAAUGUAUAGGUAAUAUGCCUCUUACUAAGGGAUAACAAAUGGAAACGUUUGCUAAUACCUUAUACUCCUUAUUAACAGAAGUUAAUAAGGGAAAGAUUUAUUGGUAAGAGAUUAGCCUGUAUUGUAUCAGUUAGUUGGUGGGGUAAUGGCUUACCAAGACUAUGACACAUAACUGGUUUGAGAGGAUGAUCAGUCACACUGGAACUGAGACACGGUCCAGACUCCUACGGAAGGCAGCAGUGGGGAAUAUUGCACAAUGGACGAAAGUCUGAUGCAGCAACGCCGCGUGGAGGAUGACACAUUUCGGUGCGUAAACUCCUUUUAUAUGGGAAGAUAAUGACGGUAUUAUAUGAAUAAGCACCGGCUAACUCCGUGCCAGCCGCCGCGGUAA
RNAcentral lists this ribosomal RNA (484 nucleotides) under uncultured bacterium. Its description in RNAcentral is "partial 16S ribosomal RNA". It matches the Rfam family "Bacterial small subunit ribosomal RNA", at positions 29 to 523 of the family's 1533-position model. The record is from RNAcentral.